Molecule: long non-coding RNA, 866 nt
Filed under: Parus major (Great Tit)
Lineage: Eukaryota; Metazoa; Chordata; Aves; Passeriformes; Paridae
Description: lncRNA (ENSPMJG00000011292.1)
Source: RNAcentral
CAGCAUUUACUUUGGUAUUCCUGAUGUGUGUCCUAGUAAAUCACUAUUUCCUAAGAGGCAAUUAUCCUGUUGGGGUGCUGGGCAACAAUUCUUCCAUCUACACAUUCAAGUGGUGUUCUCAUGUUUGGGUUCAUACACCUCAAUAAAAUUUUAACUACACAGAUUUAGGGUUUCUGUAGUAUGUAGUUCUGCAUAUAGUAAUAAUUAUUCCUAAUGUUGCUUUAUCAAUGAAAUACUUAAUUUUCAUUGUUUAUAACUCUGCUAAAUUAAAAAAAUGUCAAAUUAUGUUUUCAUUUCAGCUGUUUCUCCUGCUAACCCUACAUCAAGGGACUUUACUUUAGAUUUAACUGUCUGAAGAUUAAUUUGCACAGAUUUGGUCACACAAAAGAAAUACCUCACCUGUUUUACUGUAGCUGUCUCUCCUAAUUUCCAGGGGCUCCUUUGGCAACAAAACCAAAAGAAGGAAGAAUCUCCUGUAAUGUUAAUUAAUCUUUAGCCUACUGGUGUCUGAUGAACACAUGGGAAAGAACAGCUGGUCUCAGUGCAAGAUACAUGGGCUUAGUGAUGAGGAAAAGGUAACAGAGAAGAUGAAUUUCCAGGACUGGAAAAUAGGACAGCAAAGAAUGGAUUUGGAGCAUGAAAAGAUGGAGGAUUAUGGCCAGACAUUGGAGAGAGGUCUGUGCAAAGGAGCUACAGUAGGUGGUGUCAGCCUACGCCUGUGAAAAUCUCAGAGGUAAAUUUGCAGAGAAGUAAAUUCUUAAAGUCAGCUCAGGAUGCAGACAGAAAAAAGCUGGAGAGACUGAUAAUUUUGCUACCUUAACAGACAUUCAAAUAAAAACUGUAAAAAGUGUAAACUAAUUUUGAAA